Molecule: ribosomal RNA, 253 nt
Filed under: uncultured bacterium
Lineage: Bacteria
Description: partial 16S ribosomal RNA
Rfam family: Bacterial small subunit ribosomal RNA
Source: RNAcentral
UACAGAGGUCCCAAGCGUUGUUCGGAUUCAUUGGGCGUAAAGGGUGCGUAGGUGGCGGGGUAAGUUGGAUGUGAAAUCUCGGGGCUCAACCCCGAAACUGCAUUCAAUACUGCUCUGCUCGAGUACUGGAGAGGAGAUCGGAAUUUACGGUGUAGCAGUGAAAUGCGUAGAUAUCGUAAGGAAGACCAGUGGCGAAGGCGGAUCUCUGGACAGUUACUGACACUGAGGCACGAAGGCCAGGGGAGCAAACGGG